CGCACCGUGUACUCCCAGAUGGUCUCCGGGUCGAUGAGGGCCUGCUCGCCGAAGUACGCCCCGUCGGCGAGCGUUCCGAGGACGGUGUCGUCGCCGUACGGCCCGGUGCCGAUCUUCUCGGCCCUGCCGUGGGCGAGCAGGAACACCUCGUCCGCCUGGUUGCCGAACGACGUGAGGACCCCGCCGGCCUCGAACUCCCGCUGCUGGCAGCGACGGGCCAGCUCGGUGAGCACCUCCUGGUCCUCGAAGUCCCGCAGGACCGGCAGUUCGCCCAGCUCCGCCGGGAUCACCUCGACACGGUCCCCGGUCUUGACGAACGUGACCCGGCCGUCACCGACCGAAUAGCUCGUCCUGCGGUUCACGCGAUAUGUGCCGCCCUGCACCUGCACCCAGGGCAGCAUCCGCAGCAGCCAGCGGGAGCUGAUCUCCUGCAUCUGCGGCGCGGACUUGGUGGUGGUGGCCAGAUUCCGCGCGGCGGAUGUGCCGAGACUCUGCUGCGGCGUGUCCU
This is a non-coding RNA of Streptomyces aurantiacus JA 4570, 508 nucleotides long. It matches the Rfam family "Saccharopolyspora sRNA 350". The record is from Rfam. Lineage: Bacteria; Bacillati; Actinomycetota; Actinomycetes; Kitasatosporales; Streptomycetaceae.